RNAcentral lists this non-coding RNA (24 nucleotides) under Cricetulus griseus (Chinese hamster). The record is from RNAcentral. Lineage: Eukaryota; Metazoa; Chordata; Mammalia; Rodentia; Cricetidae.
AUAAUUAACUUUUCUUCCCCACAG